Molecule: long non-coding RNA, 509 nt
Organism: Ochotona princeps (American pika)
Lineage: Eukaryota; Metazoa; Chordata; Mammalia; Lagomorpha; Ochotonidae
Exons: 3
Source: RefSeq, a predicted model, not a curated record
CCCGUGUUUCACAAUAACGGGGUCCUUCAGUUGCAGUCCCGGCUCGGCACCCCGCUCUUUCCGUGUGUCAGGACACUGAAGAUGAGCCACAGCUGCUGCUCUGCACUCGUGAACACAUGACAUGGACAGGUUUGAAAGUGUUCUCAGUACUUAAAACAUCCUCGUGGUGAGACACAGGUGGCCAAGAAAGCUGUUACAAAUUCACGAAUGCUUGAACUUAAACCGUCAGUUGUUUACAACUUGAAGCAUGGGCAAGCGUUAAAAAACAUUGGCUCAAGAGCACUGGGCAUCCUCUAGCAGGGCCCGGAGUACACUACGUACCUGCUAAAGGCCUCAAUGGAAGGGACGAGCUGCACCCAGCAUGGGGGGCCUAACGGGUAAGUCCUCGCCUUGCAUCUGCCAGGAUCCCCUCUGGGCGCUGGUUUGUGUCCUGGGUACUCCACUUCCCAUCCAGCUCCCUGCUUGUGGCCUGGGAAAGCAGUAGAGGAUGGCCUGAAGCCUUGGGACCC